Molecule: long non-coding RNA, 855 nt
Organism: Oncorhynchus keta (chum salmon)
Lineage: Eukaryota; Metazoa; Chordata; Actinopteri; Salmoniformes; Salmonidae
Exons: 3
Source: RefSeq, a predicted model, not a curated record
UGUGUCAGUUACAGACAGAGAUAUCAAGUGGAUGCAUCUGGAUCCAGCACAUUCGCUGAUGUCACACCUACACAUCUGAGGUGAAAGGUGACAGAACUCGAGUGGUGUUUAGUCAGACCAGGAGACAUCCCAUCUGAGGUGAAAGGUGACAGAGUGGUGUUUAGUCAGACCAGGAGACAUCCCAUCUGAGGUGAAAGGUGACAGAGUGGUGUUUAGUCAGACCAGGAGACAUCCCAUCUGAGGUGAAAGGUGACAGAGUGGUGUUUAGUCAGACCAGGAGACAUCCCAUCUGAGGUGAAAGGUGACAGAGUGGUGUUUAGUCAGACCAGGAGACAUCCCAUCUGAGGUGAAAGGUGACAGAGUGGUGUUUAGUCAGACCAGGAGACAUCCCAUCUGAGGUGAAAGGUGACAGAGUGGUGUUUAGUCAGACCAGGAGACAUCCCAUCUGAGGUGAAAGGUGACAGAGUGGUGUUUAGUCAGACCAGGAGACAUCCCAUCUGAGGUGAAAGGUGACAGAGUGGUGUUUAGUCAGACCAGGAGACAUCCCAUCUGAGGUGAAAGGUGACAGAGUGGUGUUUAGUCAGACCAGGAGACAUCCCAUCUGAGGUGAAAGGUGACAGAGUGGUGUUUAGUCAGACCAGGAGACAUCCCAUCUGAGGUGAAAGGUGACAGAGUGGUGUUUAGUCAGACCAGGAGACAUCCCAUCUGAGGUGAAAGGUGACAGAGUGGUGUUUAGUCAGACCAGGAGACAUCCCAUCUGAGGUGAAAGGUGACAGAGUGGUGUUUAGUCAGACCAGGAGACAUCCCAUCUGAGGUGAAAGGUGACAGAGUGGUGUUUAGUCAGACCAGGAGACA